AGAGUUUGAUCCUGGCUCAGAGCGAACGCUGGCGGCAGGCCUAACACAUGCAAGUCGAACGGACCUUUCGGGGUUAGUGGCGGACGGGUGAGUAACACGUGGGAACGUGCCUUUAGGUUCGGAAUAGCUCCUGGAAACGGGUGGUAAUGCCGAAUGUGCCCUUCGGGGGAAAGAUUUAUCGCCUUUAGAGCGGCCCGCGUCUGAUUAGCUAGUUGGUGGGGUAAUGGCCCACCAAGGCUACGAUCAGUAGCUGGUCUGAGAGGAUGACCAGCCACAUUGGGACUGAGACACGGCCCAAACUCCUACGGGAGGCAGCAGUGGGGAAUCUUGCGCAAUGGGCGAAAGCCUGACGCAGCCAUGCCGCGUGUAUGAUGAAGGUCUUAGGAUUGUAAAAUACUUUCACCGGUGAAGAUAAUGACUGUAGCCGGAGAAGAAGCCCCGGCUAACUUCGUGCCAGCAGCCGCGGUAAUACGAAGGGGGCUAGCGUUGCUCGGAAUUACUGGGCGUAAAGGGAGCGUAGGCGGACAUUUAAGUCAGAGGUGAAAUCCCGGAG
Molecule: ribosomal RNA, 553 nt
Filed under: uncultured freshwater bacterium
Lineage: Bacteria
Description: bacterial SSU rRNA
Rfam family: Bacterial small subunit ribosomal RNA
Source: RNAcentral